UCCGAGUUGACCCCGGCAGUCUCCUAUGAGUCCCCGGCAUAAUCCGCUGGCAACAUAGAACGAGGGUUGCGCUCGUUGCGGGACUUAACCCAACAUCUCACGACACGAGCUGACGACAGCCAUGCAGCACCUGUGUUCUGGCUCCCUUUCGGGCACACCCCCAUCUCUGGGGGCUUCCGUACAUGUCAAGGGUAGGUAAGGUUAUUCGCGUUGCAUCGAAUUAAUCCACAUCAUCCACCGCUUGUGCGGGUCCCCGUCAAUUCCUUUGAGUUUUAAUCUUGCGACCGUACUCCCCAGGCGGGAUGCUUAAUGCGUUAGCUGCGCCACUGACGAGUAAACCCGCCAACGGCUAGCAUCCAUCGUUUACAGCGUGGACUAC
This 379-nucleotide unclassified non-coding RNA is filed under the name uncultured bacterium. Its description in RNAcentral is "contains 16S-23S intergenic spacer region". The record is from RNAcentral.